Eubalaena glacialis (North Atlantic right whale) is the source of this 645-nucleotide long non-coding RNA. RefSeq lists it as uncharacterized. The record is from RefSeq and is a predicted model, not a curated record. The transcript has 3 exons. NCBI's taxonomy places the organism in Eukaryota, Metazoa, Chordata, Mammalia, Artiodactyla, Balaenidae.
ACGCGGAUGCAGACCAUCGAAGCGACAUCAUAAAGCGGCCCUGAUUUUGAGCUUUGGCGCGGGUGGUUGUGGGUAGCGCGCCCGAGAGGGAGGAUGAACGAGGAACAUCCCGCAAGCCGAAGGGGCGAUGCUGGUCGUGGCGACCCUGGCAGGAGCUGCAGGCCCUGUGCCAGGAGCUGAAUGUGGACGAGGGGAGCGCAGCCUAAGCCCUGGAGGACUUCGCAACCGUCCAGGGCAACUACAGCCUAGAGGGAGAAGUUAUACACAGCAAUGCCACUCCCAGGAAUAUACCCUGCAGACCCAUCUCCACAGAAAGAGCAAACCCUUACCUUGGGGUCAAGCUUGAUAACCUUUGAAGAACAUAAAGGAGGACAUAUCUCUGUAACAGUGGUUAAGAAUCCACCUGCCAACGCUGGGGACCUGGGUUCGAGCCCUGGUCCGGGAAGAUCCCACAUGCCGCAAAGCAACUAAGCCCGUGUGCCACAACUACUGAGCCCUCAUGCUGCAACUGCUGAAGUCCUCGCGCCUAGAGCCUGUGCUCCGCAGCAAGAGAAGCCACCGCAAUGAGCAGCCCGCGCACCACAACGAAGAGUAGCCCCGCUCGCCACAACUAGAGAAAGCCCACGCACAGCAACGAAGACCCAA